Molecule: long non-coding RNA, 2295 nt
Filed under: Arabidopsis lyrata
Lineage: Eukaryota; Viridiplantae; Streptophyta; Magnoliopsida; Brassicales; Brassicaceae
Description: long non-coding RNA (ALYR_LNC003293)
Source: RNAcentral
CUUCUUCUUCGUGUUCUUCCCUGCAAAUCUAGUUUCUAGAUCUUUUCUUUCUUCCGCGAAACGAAAAUGAGAGAGUGCAUUUCGAUCCACAUUGGUCAGGCCGGUAUCCAGGUCGGAAACGCUUGCUGGGAGCUUUAUUGUCUUGAACAUGGCAUUCAGGUUCGUCUCUUCCUCUCUCUAUCUAGAUCUAUGCUUUUCUCCUAUAUUUUUCGUUGUUUAUAGAUCAGAUCUGAGAUAUUUUAGCGCUGCAUUGACCUUGUUCUUCGGAUUUCUGAUGAAUUCGUAGAUCUAUUGUACCUAAUCGUUUAGAUCUAUGUUUAAUUUUGAUGUCUUGGAUAAUUUUUAUAUGGUUGAUGUUAGAUCCGUUUCUCAUUUCGAAAAUCUGUUUAGAUCUGUGGUUGAUUUCGGUUUAUUGUUAAAUUCCUUUGGUUGAUUCGAGAUCCGUUCGUUUCAAUAUAUUCGUUGAACAAUAAUCCGUGUAGAUUUGUUUAGAAGAUGAAAAUCGAUCUAUUUCCCAUAUUGUUAAGCUUCUCUUUUUUUUAAUCGCUGCUUCUAUAUGCUUAGAUCUUUGGAUCCAAUUCGUUUUGUAUGUCUCUUUGUAUUGAUGUGUUGUUUUGGAUCUGGAAUGCUACAGCCUGAUGGUCAGAUGCCCAGUGACAAGACUGUAGGCGGAGGUGACGAUGCUUUCAACACCUUCUUCAGUGAAACCGGUGCAGGGAAGCACGUCCCACGUGCUGUCUUUGUUGAUCUGGAGCCAACUGUGAUCGAUGAGGUCAGGACUGGUACUUACCGUCAGCUUUUCCACCCUGAACAACUCAUCAGCGGAAAAGAAGACGCAGCUAACAACUUCGCCCGUGGACAUUACACCAGUAAGUUAAUCUUUCCCUUGUUCCAUCAUCAACCACUUUUUAUUGAUUCUACUGUUUUAUUAACUGAUCUGAUUUUUUGAAAUUUUUCUCAGUUGGGAAAGAGAUUGUUGAUCUGUGUUUGGACCGUAUCAGAAAGCUCGCUGAUAACUGUACUGGUCUCCAAGGAUUCCUCGUCUUCAACGCUGUUGGUGGAGGGACUGGAUCUGGUCUUGGAUCUCUCCUCCUUGAGAGACUUUCUGUUGACUAUGGCAAAAAGUCCAAGUUGGGUUUCACUGUUUACCCUUCUCCUCAGGUCUCUACUUCUGUUGUUGAGCCUUACAACAGUGUCCUCUCCACUCACUCACUCUUGGAACACACUGAUGUCUCCAUCCUCCUUGACAAUGAAGCUAUCUAUGACAUCUGCAGACGCUCCCUAAGCAUUGAGAGACCAACCUACACCAACCUCAACCGUCUUGUCUCUCAGGUAUAGUAGCCAGCCUCAUUGAUUUACAUCAGCCUUGUUGCUGUUUCAUUUUCCUGGCUCAUCUAAUGUUUUCGUUCUCUCUUUUUUUUGGUUUCAGGUUAUUUCUUCCUUGACUGCUUCUCUGAGGUUCGAUGGUGCCUUGAAUGUUGAUGUCACUGAGUUCCAAACCAACUUGGUGCCAUACCCAAGAAUCCACUUUAUGCUUUCCUCCUAUGCCCCAGUCAUCUCUGCAGAGAAGGCCUUCCAUGAGCAACUCUCAGUUGCUGAGAUCACAAACAGUGCUUUUGAGCCAGCUUCCAUGAUGGCUAAGUGUGAUCCUCGUCACGGAAAGUACAUGGCCUGCUGUUUGAUGUACCGUGGUGAUGUUGUCCCCAAGGAUGUGAACGCAGCUGUUGGCACAAUCAAGACCAAGCGCACUAUUCAGUUUGUUGACUGGUGUCCUACUGGAUUCAAGUGUGGUAUCAACUACCAGCCACCAACUGUUGUUCCAGGAGGUGAUCUUGCUAAAGUGCAGAGAGCUGUUUGUAUGAUCUCAAACUCCACCAGUGUUGCUGAGGUGUUCUCCCGUAUUGAUCACAAGUUUGAUCUUAUGUACGCCAAACGUGCUUUCGUUCACUGGUAUGUGGGUGAGGGUAUGGAAGAAGGUGAAUUCUCAGAGGCUCGUGAGGAUCUUGCAGCAUUGGAGAAGGAUUAUGAAGAGGUUGGUGCUGAAGGUGGUGACGAUGAGGAUGAUGAAGGAGAGGAGUACUAAGAAGAAGGUUGUGGGUUUUAUGUGGGCUUUCUAUUAUCUCGUGUUUGUGUGAAUGGGCUCGAAACUCUUACGAGUCCUAGUUGUGUUUUUCAAAAACCAUAUUUCUAUCUCUUGCUUGUGGCGGUAGCCAUUUGUUUUCUAUUAUCUAGUUCGUUUGUGUUUCUGGUAAUAUCUCUCAUUUCCAAGAACUGAAUUUAAGAUGGGUGUUUGGC